Small nucleolar RNA from Suncus etruscus (white-toothed pygmy shrew), 150 nucleotides. NCBI's taxonomy places the organism in Eukaryota, Metazoa, Chordata, Mammalia, Eulipotyphla, Soricidae. The record is from RefSeq and is a predicted model, not a curated record.
ACAGAACAAUAAAACUGUCCAAAAUUCACUGGCUAGUCGAUGAACAGACAGGUGUAGAGAGUGUGCUACAUGACGGGCAAGUUUUUCUGCUAACACCACAAGGGUCUUUGGCCCAAUGAGUGGAAUUUGAUAGUAAUUCUUGCUACAAAU